RNAcentral lists this ribosomal RNA (483 nucleotides) under uncultured bacterium. RNAcentral's name for it is "partial 16S ribosomal RNA". It matches the Rfam family "Bacterial small subunit ribosomal RNA", at positions 30 to 507 of the family's 1533-position model. The record is from RNAcentral.
AUUGAACGCUGGCGGCAGGCCUAACACAUGCAAGUCGAGCGGAUGAAGGGAGCUUGCUCCUGGAUUCAGCGGCGGACGGGUGAGUAAUGCCUAGGAAUCUGCCUGGUAGUGGGGGAUAACGUCCGGAAACGGGCGCUAAUACCGCAUACGUCCUGAGGGAGAAAGUGGGGGAUCUUCGGACCUCACGCUAUCAGAUGAGCCUAGGUCGGAUUAGCUAGUUGGUGGGGUAAAGGCCUACCAAGGCGACGAUCCGUAACUGGUCUGAGAGGAUGAUCAGUCACAUUGGAACUGAGAAAGGGCCCAAAUUCCUACGGAGGGCAGCAGGGGGAAAUAUGGAAAAAGGGCGAAAGGCUUGACCAGGCCAGGCGGGUGGGUUAAAGAAGGUUUCCGGAUGGUAAAGAACUUAAGUUGGGAGGAAGGGCAGUAAGUUAAUACCUUGCUGUUUUGACGUUACCAACAGAAUAAGCACCGGCUAACUUCGUG